This 253-nucleotide ribosomal RNA is filed under the name uncultured bacterium. RNAcentral's name for it is "partial 16S ribosomal RNA". It matches the Rfam family "Bacterial small subunit ribosomal RNA", at positions 524 to 776 of the family's 1533-position model. The record is from RNAcentral.
UACGAAGGGGGCUAGCGUUGCUCGGAAUCACUGGGCGUAAAGCGCACGUAGGCGGAUUGUUAAGUCAGGGGUGAAAUCCUGGAGCUCAACUCCAGAACUGCCUUUGAUACUGGCGAUCUUGAGUUCGGGAGAGGUGAGUGGAACUGCGAGUGUAGAGGUGAAAUUCGUAGAUAUUCGCAAGAACACCAGUGGCGAAGGCGGCUCACUGGCCCGAUACUGACGCUGAGGCACGAAAGCGUGGGGAGCAAACAGG